UACGUAGGUGACAAGCGUUGUCCGGAUUUACUGGGCGUAAAGAGCGCGCAGGCGGUCGUUCAAGUCGAGUGUGAAAGCCCCCGGCUCAACUGGGGAGGGUCAUUCGAUACUGAUCGACUGGAAGGCAGGAGAGGGAAGUGGAAUUCCCGGUGUAGUGGUGAAAUGCGUAGAUAUCGGGAGGAACACCAGUGGCGAAGGCGACUUCCUGGCCUGUUCUUGACGCUGAGGCGCGAAAGCUAGGGGAGCAAACGGG
RNAcentral lists this ribosomal RNA (253 nucleotides) under uncultured bacterium. RNAcentral describes it as "partial 16S ribosomal RNA". It matches the Rfam family "Bacterial small subunit ribosomal RNA", at positions 524 to 776 of the family's 1533-position model. The record is from RNAcentral.